CGGGACGGGUGAGUAAUGUCUGGGGAAACUGCCUGAUGGAGGGGGAUAACUACUGGAAACGGUAGCUAAUACCGCAUAACGUCGCAAGACCAAAGAGGGGGACCUUCGGGCCUCUUGCCAUCGGAUGUGCCCAGAUGGGAUUAGCUAGUAGGUGGGGUAACGGCUCACCUAGGCGACGAUCCCUAGCUGGUCUGAGAGGAUGACCAGCCACACUGGAACUGAGACACGGUCCAG
This 234-nucleotide ribosomal RNA is filed under the name uncultured bacterium. RNAcentral describes it as "partial 16S ribosomal RNA". It matches the Rfam family "Bacterial small subunit ribosomal RNA", at positions 100 to 334 of the family's 1533-position model. The record is from RNAcentral.